AUGCAGUGUUAUUUGGCUGUUGGAUUAAAAAGUCACAUCCAUUUCUUUUCUGCCCUACUCCACUACUGCUCUGAAGUCUCACUGUGGCUUGGCAACUAUGGGUUUUCAAUGGCUGUGUCAGCAAAGUAUGAUGCUGGCAAGAUCUACCAAGUGGGAAAAGCUUUAGCACCAGGCCUGGAGAAGACUAGAGAAGUCUUUUGUAUGAGGAGCAGCCUGGCUGAAUUUGGAGAAGUCCAUCAUCAGAAGGCUGGCCACAUUAAAAGAAAGUUCUCUAUCAUGAGUGAAUGGAGGACCAGAAUGGAUGGGCAAAGAAGGCAUAUUUUAAGCAUCUACUGUGUGCCAGAGACUGAACUAAAAGUUGAUAAUGAAACCAGAGUCUUGAAAUACUGAAGUAUGUCUUUUCUUCUCCUCUAGCUCUCAAGUGGUUGCCUUUAUCCCAGCAGAGAGGGCUAACUUUUCAUAUUAUGAGAGGAACUAAUAGUCAGUGGAACUGGUUGACACAAGUUGGAGUUUUUCUCUGACUUUAAGUGUCCUACCAUUUCUAUGGCAUAGAUUCUCCUUUAGAUUUCCAGAAUAUUCAAAACAGUUUUGAGAAAAAAAUGAAAAUGAAAUAGUACAUGGUUUUUGGAUCCUUUGCAAGUAGUUAAUACAUACUUCUUAAGACUGAAUGUGUUAUUAGAAACUUUUGUGUUGAAGGGAUCAGAACCAGAAAAGCAAUAGACUAUAAGGGCUACAGCAAUGGCAAUGGAAAGAACAACCAACCACCCUUCUCUGAAGCUGAAUUUGGUAUAAUAUUGAUGAUAAUGCUUGGUCCCAAUGAAGAGAAGAAGAAAUUUUUCUUUCCUAUUUGCAGGGGCAAGGGCUCUAUGAAUUUGAAACAUUGUACCAACAAAACCAAUCCAACCAAGAUUAGAAAUUGUAAGACAGAAAGGCAGAUUCAUCAUACUGGAAGACCAGCUCCAGUGGAGGAAGGGCAAGAAGGGUGGAGAAUUCCAGUGAAAGAACUGAGGAGCUGAGAGAAUCCAAGCAGUUAACUCACUUCUCUUUGGGGUGUCCUCCACGGAGUUUGGUCUGAGAAAACCUAUGAAUCUUGAUCAUCCUUCUGUGAAUCCAGACUCCUCCCUCAAUCUAGUGGAAGACAACAGGAGUGGAUAGGACUUUGAUAUAAAGCUAUCAUCCCAGAAAAUCUCCUCUCUCCCAUAAGCAGUCCUGAAACUUCAUACCAUAGUUAGGACAGUAGAAGUCAGGAUAGCUAUUACAAAUGACCCCAGAGGGUCAGGCAGGCAAAGCCUGACUUUGCAGGAUUUGGGUAGAAGGGUUUCAAUUAUUAAUCCUUAGGGACUUCCCAUGUCCCACUUUCCCAUUACCUUAUCCCACAAUUUCAUUUACCCUACUUUUUGUGUGUUCCUCAAGAAUAAAUAGCUGUCUCUAUAGAUCA
This 1438-nucleotide long non-coding RNA is filed under the name Monodelphis domestica (gray short-tailed opossum). Its description in RNAcentral is "lncRNA (ENSMODG00000048607.1)". Lineage: Eukaryota; Metazoa; Chordata; Mammalia; Didelphimorphia; Didelphidae. The record is from RNAcentral.